GGUAUUAGUUCUGUGGCUCUACUGAAACACAAGUCAUGCUUCCACCACAGCAGGUUUAUUGCAGUGGUGACAAUGAGACUUGUAACAUUU
Small nucleolar RNA from Ursus americanus (American black bear), 90 nucleotides. The record is from Ensembl. NCBI's taxonomy places the organism in Eukaryota, Metazoa, Chordata, Mammalia, Carnivora, Ursidae.